Molecule: ribosomal RNA, 269 nt
Filed under: uncultured prokaryote
Description: partial 16S ribosomal RNA
Rfam family: Bacterial small subunit ribosomal RNA
Source: RNAcentral
GACGAAGGUGGCGAGCGUUAUUCGAAAUCACUGGGCUUAAAGGGCGCGUAGGCGGAUAUGCAAGUGUCAGGUGAAAUCCCCCGGCUUAACCGGGGAACUGCCUGAUAAACUGCAUAUCUUGAGUCAAGUAGGGGUGUGUGGAACUCUUGGUGGAGCGGUGGAAUGCGUAGAUAUCAAGAGGAACGCCGAAGGUGAAGACAGCACACUAGGCUUGAACUGACGCUGAGGCGCGAAAGCGUGGGGAGCGAACAGGAUUAGAUACCCCCGUA